Molecule: ribosomal RNA, 775 nt
Filed under: uncultured Neocallimastigales
Lineage: Eukaryota; Fungi; Neocallimastigomycota; Neocallimastigomycetes; Neocallimastigales
Description: partial large subunit ribosomal RNA
Rfam family: Eukaryotic large subunit ribosomal RNA
Source: RNAcentral
UAUCUCUGUAGAGUCUGCAUAUCAAUAAGCGGAGGAAAAGAAACUAACUAGGAUUCCCUCAGUAACGGCGAGUGAAGCGGGAAGAGCUCAAAUUUGAAAUCUUCAAGGUUUUACCUUGACGAAUUGUAGUUUAAAGAAGUGUUUUCUGUUGGAGUUUUGGUAAAAGUUCUUUGGAAUAGGACAUCAUAGAGGGUGAGAAUCCCGUAUUUGACCAUUAUUUCCAGCUUUGUGAUACACUUUCAAAGAGUCGGAUUGUUUGGGAAUGCAGUCCAAAAUGGGUGGUAAAUUUCAUCUAAAGCUAAAUACUGGCGAGAGACCGAUAGCGAACAAGUACCGUGAGGGAAAGAUGAAAAGAACUUUGAAAAGAGAGUUAAACAGUACGUGAAAUUGUCAAAAGGGAAGCGUUUAACACCAGUGUUGUUUUCUCGAAAAUCAAUUAAAAAUGGCGGGAUUUUGUGUUGUAUUGACUUUAUCAGCUUUCUGCACUCUUUUCCUGUCUUUUUUAAUGCACUUUUCGUUUAACAAGUCAACAUCCAAUUUCUUUUGUUGUAAAAGGGUCAUUGGAAGGUGGCUUUCUUUUCGGAGAAAGUGUUUAUAGCCUUUGCUCUCUGCAAUCGGAGAGAUUGAGGUCUGCAGCGUAGAUCCUUCGGGGUUAGAUACAUUUGUGCUAAGUUAUAACCUUUCAUAGACAACUUGUUGACUAUGAUCAGUCAUGUAGCUUACUCGCUUAUGCUAUUUUACCUACGCUUAGGAUGUUGAGUCAUCACACAUCUCU